CUUCAGAAGAUGCGCAAUUAAUUAUUAUUGAUAUAACAAAAUGAUAUAUUUUUGUUCUUGUAAAUAUGAAUACAUCUUUAUUUAUACAGUCAGUAAUAAUCGAGAACAAUCAGUCAUUACUAAUAAUAAAUAUUAUUAUGCAAAAUCGAACCUGAAUAAACACAUAUGUGUAAGCAAGGAGCGACUAUAAAACGCCUAGUUUAAGAAAUAAUUUUUAUAACACAAUUUUGUCACGAGUACAAUCGCUUGUAAUUAAGACCGUAAAUUUUGUAAGAAAUGGCAGACAUUUAUGUGGUAGCCGUGUGCAUUGCGGUUAUGGUGGCGAUAGCUCCUUACAUAAAUAUGGAUAUUUCAAUUGACUAAGAAGAAAACGAUGGUGUUGUCUAAAUUGUUUUUUAAUAUUUUUUAUUACUAAUUGUCAAUUUAUGAAUUACGAAAUUACAAAUUAGAUACAUAUAAUCUAAUAGUCUUUCAUUAUAAUUUUGCAAUAAUUUAAUUAAUACAUAAUGAUUAGGUACAGCUUAUACACAUUGAGCGACUUUAAACUUGUGGACCAGUCCCUUCGUCAGUGUCCACGUCUUGGCUCCGUAUGUUAACACGUGCAGGACGCAUUGCUCGAAGACUU
RNAcentral lists this unclassified non-coding RNA (625 nucleotides) under Melitaea cinxia (Glanville fritillary). RNAcentral describes it as "misc RNA ENSMCXG00005019213.1". The record is from RNAcentral. Lineage: Eukaryota; Metazoa; Arthropoda; Insecta; Lepidoptera; Nymphalidae.